CCAGACGGCUGGGCGGUCGCGGCGGGACUUGAUCUCGUCGAGGAAAGUCCGGGCUCCACGGUGAAAAGGCGGCGGAUAACUUCCGCCCGGGGCGACCCGAGGGAUAGCGCCACAGAAAGCAAACCUCCGGCCUCGCGAGACCGGUAAGGGUGAAAGGGUGGGGUAAGAGCCCACCGCGUGCCUGGCAACAGGGACGGCAUGGCAAGCCCCGCCUGGAGCAAGACCAAAUAGGGACAUCGCGCGGGGUUCGCCUCGCGGGGCUCACCGCCUCAGAUGUCCGGGUAGGUCGCGAGAACCGUUCAGCAAUGGACGGUCCAGAGGAAUGAUCGUCGUCGUUCCGGGUUUCGGCCCGGGGCGGAACAAAACCCGGCUUACAGGCCGUCUGGCAUU
Molecule: non-coding RNA, 390 nt
Organism: Caulobacterales bacterium GWE1_67_11
Lineage: Bacteria; Pseudomonadati; Pseudomonadota; Alphaproteobacteria; Caulobacterales
Source: Rfam